Molecule: ribosomal RNA, 93 nt
Filed under: Triticum aestivum (bread wheat)
Lineage: Eukaryota; Viridiplantae; Streptophyta; Magnoliopsida; Poales; Poaceae
Description: partial small subunit ribosomal RNA
Source: RNAcentral
AUGAUGUGGCGGUGGACACGACAGUGUACCGUUGACGAACCCUUCCAAGUAAUGGCUGCGAAGGAGAGGAAGCACCUGAGCACGCCAAUAUAG